Molecule: long non-coding RNA, 1656 nt
Filed under: Phoenix dactylifera (date palm)
Lineage: Eukaryota; Viridiplantae; Streptophyta; Magnoliopsida; Arecales; Arecaceae
Description: long non-coding RNA (PDAC_LNC013017)
Source: RNAcentral
UAUUCAAUUUUUAAAAAAAUGACUACCCAUCUGCACUUAAAUUGGGUGGAUUACUAAUAUAUCUCAAACUACUUUUGAAAUCACAUGAAAAUGUUGUGGUCACCAAAAUGAAAUGUUACCUUAGAAGCAUGAAAAAUGGAUACAUGAUUGUAGCUGUUGUGAGUAAUAGAUGAAGUGAGACAACCACCUGCAAAACAUGUAAGUUGAACAGUGUUUUAAACUUAGCAGAAGUUAGAAGGGUUUAAGAAAUAUAUAAAAGAAGAUUAGAUCAAAUGCUGUGAAUAAUAAAGCAAAGUUCAUAGGCCAAAAGUACUCAUUCUACCAACUAGAUUUAGUCACUAAAAUGAUAUACCAAUCACCAAAAAAAAAAGGAAAGAAAGAAAAACAUGGUACAGUAAUACUGCAAUCAAAAUUCACUAAUAAGCAGACUAACAGACUUUUUCUUGACAAAGCUCAUAGUGGUGGCAAAACGAACAACAUAUGAAAUAAUCAAAAUAUUGCAUGUGCCAGGACCCAUAGUGCAGUAAUCUGUUAGAUCGUGCAUGUGAAAUGAAGAAUCAUGAAGGAAGAACCAAUAUAACAUCCAACAAAGUGAAAAUGGCAUGUAUUGCAGGGUAAAGAAAAAAUAAAAGAAACAAAAUGCACAACUGUAAAAGCAUAUAUGAUACAAUAAUCAUUUUUACUGCAGAUUUACACACUGAACUUUAAGCUGUAUACUCCUUGCAGCAAUUCUUAAUUUAUCAGCAAGUAGGAACUGUUGAGCAAGUAGUUCAUCAUGAACUAGUAUAGAUUCUACAAUUGACAUUUGAAGUAAUGAACAUGGGGCAUGCUCUUUAUAAAAUGAUAUGGAUUGACCUUGGUUUAAGUAUAUUUGAUAGGGGAAGACAAUCCUGAAUUAACUGAAUGAGAGAAAGUAUUCAUAAAGCAGGCUCUGAGUAGAUAGAGUCAUUUUUAGCUUCAUUAAGUUAAUGUAUACACUUUUUAAUCAUAACUUUAAAGGUGUAGAACAUGCACUCAUCGCAGAUACAUAUAAAAGAAGGCAAUAACUGUUUUAAUAUUUGGAUACAACAGUUUGAUGCAAUAUAACAAUAAUUAAAUGGGCAACUGGCCAAAAUAGAUUAUCUACCUACUGGCCUGAUAAUUCCUGAUUAGAAAGGAUAAGUUGAAUUUGACAUGGGACAUUUAAUAGCUAAUGGCUGAAGACUAGUUACAGGUUCAGAAAUUAACUUUCUAUAUGCCAACUUUUCAACCAUGUAAGCACCAAGAGGGAAAACAGGUAGAGUGAGGCUGUCAUUUACAAAUAUUAGAGGAAUGCCAAGUCAGAAAACAAGAUGAAGAAUUUAGUAACAUUCUCAAGAAAAACAAGAACAAUAACUCCAGAACCUACAUAUAAGGAGUGGCCAAUCUCUCAGAAAUCUUGAACUGAGAAAAAAAAAUCCACUUCCUAUUAGUAAACCAUACUGCAAGAAAAGGAGAAAAGAUCAACACUACUCUGACAAAGCAGAUACAAACAUGAGGCAGACAAGAGGAUACUUUUUUGGCCGGAAUAAGGUAUGGAAAUUCAGCAAACCUGCAUCAAGUUCUCAAUAAUAAGCCUGCCGUUCUGCAAUCAGAACUGCUACAGAAAGGUUGAAGAGACCUGCAUGGCUCUGCCAU